This is a long non-coding RNA of Brassica rapa (field mustard), 3471 nucleotides long. RefSeq lists it as uncharacterized. NCBI's taxonomy places the organism in Eukaryota, Viridiplantae, Streptophyta, Magnoliopsida, Brassicales, Brassicaceae. The record is from RefSeq and is a predicted model, not a curated record.
UUCAUUUUUAUAAAAAAAAUAGUGGAUUUGGGGUUGUGAUUUAGAAAUUAGGAUAACAAGAACUUUUGUUGAUAGAUGAGUAUUGUCUUAGAUUUUUUGAUCAAUAGCUUGUAUUUUUAAAAUAAAAUUCUCAAAAAUUCUAUUAUAGGAAAGUUUUCCUUUUUGUAAAGAAAUAUAGUAGGUUUGGGGUUGUGAUUUAGAUAUUAUGAUAACAAGAAUUUUUUAUUGAUAGAUGAGUUUCUUUUAGAUGUUUUGAUCACUAGGUUAUAUUUUUUAAAAUAAAAUUCCCAAAAAGUUUAUUUUAGCUCAGUUUUCAUUUUUAUAAAAAAAUUUAGUGGAUUUGGGGUUAUGAUUAGAAAUUAGGAUAAAAAGGAUAUUUGUUGAUAGAUGAGUAUUGUCUUAGAUUUUUUGAUCAAUGGCAUGCAUUUUUAAAAUAAAACUCCUAAAAAUUAUAUUUUAGGAAAGCUUUCAUUUUUGUAGAAAAAUAUUGUAGAUUUGGGGUUGUGAUUAAGAUAUAAGGAUAAGAAGAAUUUUGGUUGAUAAAUGAGUAUUGUUUUAGAUUUUCUGGUCAAUAGAUUGUAUUUAUUAAAUAAAAUUCGCAAAAAUUCUAUUUUAGGAAAGUUUUCAUUUUUAUAGAAAAUUUUUGUAGCUUUUGGGUUGUGAUUUAAAAAUUAGAAUAACAAGUUUUUUUGUUCAUUGAUGAAUAUUCUCUUAAAUUUUUUGAUCCAUGGGUUAUAUCUUUAAAAUAAAAUACUAAAAAUUCUAUUUUAAGAAAGUUUUCAUUUUGUAGAAAAAUAUUGCAGAUUUGGAGUUGUGAUUAAGAUAUAAGGAUAACAAGAAAUUUUGUUGAUGAUGAGUAUUUUUUUAGAUUUUUGAUCAAUAAGUAUUAUUUUUAUAGAAAAUUCUAAAAAGUUUUAUUUUAGGAAAAUUUUCAUUUAUAUAGAAAAACAUUGUAGAUUUGGGGUUUUAGAUUUAGAAAUUAGGAUAAGAAGACUUUUUGUUUAUAAAUGAGUAUUCUUGUAGUUUUUUCUCUCAAUAGGUUGUAUUUAUUAAAUUAUUUUCAGAAAUAUUUUAUUCUAGGAAACUUUUCAUUUUUAUAGAGCAAUUUUUGUAUAUUUUAGGUUGUGAUUUAGACAUUAGGAUAGCCAGUUUUUUUUGUUGAUAGAUGAAUAUUCUUUUAGAUUUUUUGAUUCAUAGGUUGUAUUUUUAAAAUAAAAUUCUAAUUAUUCUAUUUUAUAAAAGUUUUCAAUUUUAUAGAAAGAUAUUGUAUAUUUGGGGUUGUGAUAAAGAUAUAUGGAUAACAAUAAUUUUUGUUGAUAAACGAGCAUUUUUUUAUAGAUUUUCUAAUCAAUUGGUUGUAUUUUUUAAAUAAUAUUUUCAAAAAUUCUAUUUUAGUGAAAUUUUCACUUUUAUAGAAAAAUAUUGUAGAUUUUUUAUAGCCAGUUUUGUUGUUGAUACAUGAAUAUUCUUUUAGCUUUUUUGAUUCAUAGGUUGUAUUUUUAAAAUAAAAUACUAAAAAUUCUAUUUUAGUAAAGUUUUCAUUUUUGUAAAAAAAAUAUUGUAGAUUUGGGGUUGUGAUUAAGAUAUAGGGAUAAUAAGAAUUUUUUUUGAUGAUGAGUAUUCUUUUAGAUUUUUGAUCAAUAAGUUAUAUUUUUUAAGAAAAUUCUUUUAAAAAACUAUUUUAGGAAAGUUUUCAUUAUUAAAGAAAAAUAUUUUAGAUUUGGAAAUUAGGAUAAGAAGAAUUUUUUGUUUAUAGAUGAGUAUUCUUGUAGUAUUUUUUGCUCAAUAGGUUGUAUUUAUUAAAUUAAUUUCAGAAAAAUUCUAUUUUAACAAAGUUUUCAUUUUUAUAGAUUAUUUUUGUAGAUUUGGAGUUGUGAUUUCGAAAUUAGGAGAACAAGUUUUGUUGUUGAUUGAUGAAUAUUCUUUUAAAAUUUUUGAUUCCUAGGUUGUAUUUUAAAAAUAAAAUACUAAAAAUCCUAUUUUAGAUAAGCUUUCAUUUUUGUAGAAAAAUAUUGUAGAUUUUGGGUUGUGAUUAAGAUAUAAGGAUAACCAGAAUGUUCAUAGAUGAGUAUUGUUUUAGAUUUUCUUAUCAAUAGAUUGUAUUUUUUAAAUAAAAUUCUAAAAAUUUAUAUUUUAUGAAAGUUUUAAUCUUUAUAGAAUUUUUUUGUAGCUUUUGGGUUGUGAUUUAGAAAUUAGGAAAACAAGUUUUUUUAUUGAUUGAUGAAUAUUCUUUUUUUUUUUAUUCAUAGGUUGUAUCUUUAAAAUAAAAUACUAAAAAUUCAUUUUUAAGAAAGUUUUCAUUUUUGUAGAAAAUUAUUGUAGAUUUAGGGUUGUGAUGAAGAUAUAUAUAUAUAUAUAUAUAUAUGAGAAUUGUUUUAGAAUUUUUUAUUAAUUGGUUGUAUUUCUUAAGUAAAUUUUUUAAAACUGCUAUUUUUGGAAAGUUAUCACUUUUACAGAAAAAAAUUGUAGAUUUGGAUUUGUGAUUUAGAAAUUAGGAUAAUACGAUUUUUUUGUUGAUAUAUGAGUAUAGUUUGAGAAUUUUUUAUCAAUAGGUUGUAUUUUUUAAUUAUAUUUUUUUCUAAACUACCAUUUUUGAAAAGUUACCAUUUUUAUAGAGAAAUAUUGUAGAUUUGGAUUAUUAUUUAGAAAUUAGGAUAAAAAUAAUUUUUGUUGAUAUAUGUGUAUUGUGUAAGAAUUUUUUAUCAAAUGCUUGUAUUUUUUAAAAUAAACUUUUUAAAAACUACUAUUUUGAUAAAGUUGUCAUUUUGUAGAUAAAUAGUGCAGAUUUGAGAUUCUGAUUUAGAAAUUAGUAUAAUAAUAAUUUUUGUUGAUAUAUGAGUAUUGUUUAAGAUUUUUUUAUCAAUAGAUUUUGUUGAUAUAUGAGUAUUGUUGUAAAAAUUUUGAUCAAUAGGUAUUUUUUAAACCCUACGUGCGUCUUGCUAUCGGAGAUUUAUUCAAUUCGUGGCGAUCUUCUAUUAUCCAAGACACCAACCGGUUCCUUAAGGGACUAUGCAUCACCUUGGAUCAAUGUACAGAGCUGGCAAAAUACUUUAAACAUGUGCUUCGCCUUACUUAACUACCCUGGACGCGUUCCUUGAAAGUGAGCUAGCUGAACUCAUACCAUCAUCCUGUACUUGGGAGUCGCUUUCAAAACACUAAGAAUGAAACACAUAGAGUUUGGUAUCACGCUAUUCGUAAUAUACCACAAACGGAAAGAAGAUAUCGUUUUUGAGCGUACGCGUGUUGCUUACAUUUGGAGGACUUGCCAACUGGUGAAAAACUCAUAAUUAUAGGGAUUAACUUGGUACGUUCUUUAAAAGAUCUUAAGGAAUGCUGAUAGACAUGCGUUCAAGUUCUGUUCCUAUUUGGUCUUGCGUGCAGGUUUGGCUUUCUUUGACCGCUUCUUUUACAUAGAUCGUGCACUCAUGUCAUUUUGAGUUAAAACUGUGUUUUAUAUGAUUAUAGGUUGAC